RNAcentral lists this small nuclear RNA (69 nucleotides) under Cavia aperea (Brazilian guinea pig). Lineage: Eukaryota; Metazoa; Chordata; Mammalia; Rodentia; Caviidae. The record is from RNAcentral.
GAGCUCGCUUUGGCAGCACAUACACUAAAAUUGGAAUGAUACAGAGAAGAUUAGCAUGGCCCCUGUGCA